UCUAAGCACGAAACUUGCCCCGAGAUGAGUUCUCCCUGACCCUUUAAGGGUCCUGAAGGAACGUUGAAGACGACGACGUUGAUAGGCCGGGUGUGUAAGCGCAGCGAUGCGUUGAGCUAACCGGUACUAAUGAACCGUGAGGCUUAACCUUACAACGCCGAAGGUGUUU
RNAcentral lists this ribosomal RNA (169 nucleotides) under Escherichia coli. Its description in RNAcentral is "partial 23S ribosomal RNA". The stretch from base 1 to 151 matches the Rfam family "Bacterial large subunit ribosomal RNA", at positions 2780 to 2925 of the family's 2925-position model. Lineage: Bacteria; Pseudomonadati; Pseudomonadota; Gammaproteobacteria; Enterobacterales; Enterobacteriaceae. The record is from RNAcentral.